Molecule: unclassified non-coding RNA, 4435 nt
Filed under: Hevea brasiliensis (rubber tree)
Lineage: Eukaryota; Viridiplantae; Streptophyta; Magnoliopsida; Malpighiales; Euphorbiaceae
Source: RNAcentral
AACAUUUUGAGCAUUUUGAGUGGAAUAGUUUAGUCUAUUUUACAGAAUUAUAAGAAGGAAUAGUCAUUCAAAUACACAACUCACCAAAUCAGAAGCUCAGAUGAGCAGAAAAUGGAUAAUUGUACCAAAUAGUUCAUUUAGAAGUUGUACGUAAACAUCCGGAGGAACGCCAAUCACAUAUUCUCAAUUCAGUAAAAUGCAGAACCAAGAUUAAGAAUCAGAGGAACACUCCACUGCUGUCCCAACGGGCACACGAAUAUCCUUAUAGAGGCAAACAUAAGGUGCAUCACUUCCCACAUAAGUCCCAGCCCACCUGCCCUCAGCAAUGUAGCUUGCAUCCCAAACUGAAGCAUACAAGAACAUGGGUUUCUCAGGAAAAGUCACACCGUCCUUUCUCUCCUCUUUUCUCACCACCUUCCCAUCAACAAGCCACUGUAUUGAAUUUGGACUCCACUUGAUUACAUACUCGUGAAACCCAUCAGAGCAAUCAAACCCCAGAUCGUGAAUUUGUUCUCUGUUCCCAGUCCCUGUAGUGAAGUAGUUAGUUUGCACAAUGGUCUUGUCCUUGCCUAGGAACUCGAAGUCGAUCUCGUCCUGAGAUUUGUCACCUUCAAGAGACGAAAGAUAAAUGUUGAAAUUGAGGCCACUGGUGUUGCCUUGAGGACAUUGGAUGAGGGAACUGAAGGUGCCAUAGAGGAAGCGUGUGGUGCUGCGCCACCGAGCCCCACCGCGGUGAUCAUAGGUGAGGGUGAUGGAGUUGGACACGGGGCAGUGGGUGCAUGCCUCUGGGGUAUAGUCUAUGGCGAUCUGCUUCAUGGGUUGCGUCUCAUGGUGGAGAGCUGGAUCGGCCAUUUCGAUCUGUCAGUCGCGUCUCCGAUCAGCGAAUGAUUGACCAAAUUCUCAAUUUGGGAUUUCAGUUAAAAGCCUUUGGUUGUGGCUAAACGAUGUCGUGCUGCAAUCUCAUUGGUCAGCAAGAAAAUGGCGGUGAAAUGGUCCUAUAUCCAUUUAGGAUAAAGUUAGUAGGUUCAAGCAUUGGUUUACCCUAAGAUAGGGUUACAUGAAUCCUAUCACCAAACAUACGCAAUGCCACUGCAAGGUUGGUCUCUGUCUUUGUUGAAGUAGAGCCACUCAGAAGUGGACACCCAAGCGGUGGCGAGGAAAGGAAUAGCGGGAAGAGAUAAUGGUGGCAUUACACGUGGGCAUUAUCUCUUUCAAUUCUUGCUUUCCUUGUCUGCCUGGUUCUCGUCUCCUCCGACUCCGCUUCACCAAACGCAAAUCAUCUUCCGUUGCUGCCAUGAGUGAGGAUCCAAUCCGUGAAUGGAUUCUGUCAGAAGGAAAGGCAACUCAGAUUACAAAGAUAAGUUCUAUUGGUGGUGGUUGUAUCAAUCUUGCAAGUCGUUACGACACUGAUGCUGGUUCUUUCUUUGUCAAAACAAAUAGGAGUAUUGGACCAUCCAUGUUUGAGGGGGAAGCUCUUGGCUUAGGAGCCAUGUAUGAAACCAGAACAAUCCGUGUACCUAAGCCAUUUAAGGUUGGACCCCUACCAGCAGGAGGAUCUUACAUCAUUAUGGAAUUUAUUGAAUUUGGUGCAUUUAGAGGGAAUCAGGUUGGUGGAGAAACUUCAGUUGACUGAUCAAUGGCGAUUUUUAGUUUGACUUCUUAACUGUUUACCCAUCCCCAGUCUGUCCUAGGAAGGAAGCUCGCUGAAAUGCAUAAAGCUGGGAAAUCUGAAAAAGGCUUUGGAUUUGAUGUUGAUAAUACAAUUGGCAGGUGCAAUCGUUCAGAGAGCACUAUCAUUCUUAUCAUUGUUCACUUUUCUUGCAUAUUUUUAAAAAUGAUGGAUAAUAAACUUAACACUUGCUGAGUUAUAACAAAUUCAAAUCCAAUUUGCAGCACUCCUCAGAUAAAUACAUGGACAUCAGAUUGGAUUGAGUUUUAUGGAGAGCAUAGACUAGGUUACCAACUAAAGUUGGCAUUAGAUCAGUAUGGUGAUACAAGCAUUUACCAAAAAGGUUAGUUUUGUACUUUUCCUUGACAUAGUUAUCUUGUAACUUAAUUACUUGUUUUAGAUACAUUUUCAGAGAUGAGAAACAUGCUAAAUUGCUAAUAUGAUUACCAGAUAAUUCAUGAAAACAGAUAUGGUCUUGGAUUGCAAUUUAUUAUCAAUUGUAACUCAUUAUCUUUUCUUUGGUGAAAUCAUGCAUUUGCCUUUCUAAUAAGAUUUUGAAAUGCGAAAGAAACUAAUUUCAAUGGCUGUUUGACUAAUCAUCUAAGGAAGGUCUUCCCUAAGGGGUGGCAAUUCGGGUUGAUGGGUCGUGUUCAUGUCGUGUCAACACGCGACAUGAAUACAAUUAAAGUCGACACAAACACGACACGAUUAACAAAUUGUGUCAAAAAUUUAAAUACGAACACGACCCCAUUCUAUUAUACGGGUUACACGACACGGUAUAAUUAAUAUUAAAUUGUAUUAGAUGUAUUCAACACUACACAAUUCAUUCAACACGAAAUGACCCAUUUAACAUGGUUUGAUACAACUUAACCUAUUUAACACGCUAUAUAAGAGGGUUCAUGAAUCAUAGUGGGUCAAAUGGUUUAGUGAGUCACGGGUCAACACGUCAACACGUGACAUGAAUAUUAAAUCGUCUCAUAAACGUGUCAAGGCGAGUUAGCGGGUUAACUCGUGACACGGCACGAUUAUAACCGUAUUAUAAAUGGGUCGACACGAAUUCGACACGAACACUAAUAAGCUUAACCCAAACCCUAUAUUUUUGUGUCGUGUUCGUGUCAUGUUCAUGGGUCGUGUCUAAAAUUGUCACCCCCAGUCUUCCCUCAUAAACUGAUGUCAUUGAACCAUGAAAAUAUGCUUUUGGAUCAAGCACUUCUCAUCACUCUUGCAAUAUUUCCUUGGAUACUAAAAGCUGAAAAGUGAAUUGUUUAGAUUGAAGUGCCUUUUAUUACGUGAAAUGCCAGAUUUUUAAGUAGUUUCUGAAAGUGACAUUUGUAUUUUCUGGGAUCAUUAUUUGAUGUAUAAUUAACAGGACAAAGACUUGUUAAGAACAUGGCACCUUUGUUUGAGAACAUAGUUAUAGAGCCAUGCUUGCUUCAUGGAGACUUAUGGAGUGGGAAUAUCAGCUCUGACAAAAAUGGCGAGCCUGUUAUCCUUGACCCAGCAUGUUAUUGUAAGUUUGAUAUGCUAUAUCAUUGUGUGGCAGGAGGGUUAAUUCUAGAGUGUAUUCUCACCCAUGCACACAUAUGGAUGUAUGGUGUAUGCAUGCAAUAUAUAAUGCUUAUAGAUUACCAUUGCUGAAUUAGAUUCCUGCUGCAGAAAAAAUAUGAAAGAAAAUAUCAGUUUCAAUAACUAAUAGCGAUGAAAUGCUAACUCAAGAAGAUUAGAAAUAGUGUUAUUAUUCUUAGAUGCUAUAACCGUGAAUUUCCUGCAAAAGCUUCUGCUUCAAUGACUAAUGCUUUGUGUUUGUUGCUUUUAUUAAUCUACAGAUGGGCAUAGUGAGGCAGAAUUUGGAAUGUCAUGGUGUGCUGGUUUUGGAGGAUCAUUCUACAAUGCUUAUUUUGAGGUAUAUCUGUUUCCAUGCAGAUGAGGGCCUCAUGAGUUAUAAGAAUAUGGUGCAUUAUAUUUUCUUUUUACCGAAAACCAUUACAAUGUCUCCCUCUUGUUAAGUGAGUAAUAGACCUCGCCUGAGGCUCAACAACCAUAAUGCCUUGAUCUUGUUUCUAACAGCCCUUCUAUUCUAACCUCAACGCGAGGCAUGCCUUGGCAGGGGUCUAUGGUGCAGGCUCAGGCAGGCAGUCAUACCUACCAUGAUUUUAGAUAGGAUUCACCAUGAUUUUAACUAAUAUGGCAUUUGUAGAUUGGACGGGUACAUAUUCCCGAGUGUAGAUAAGUAUUUUCUGGCAGUCAUAUGCAUACUUGAGAAAAGGAUAAAGUAUUAUAAAUUUCUUCCCUGUUUAAAAUGUCCAACAUGUAUGGCUUAAACUCCAAGCAGGAGGCCCUGUUGUACUUGUACUGCCUUAAUGUCUGUUUGGAUUUGAAUCAUAUUAUCAUUCUGAUUGUGCUUAUUUUCUUUUUACCAGGUGAUGCCAAAACAACUAGGGUUUGAGAAAAGGAGAGAUCUUUAUAUGUUGUAUCAUUACCUGAACCAUUAUAAUCUUUUCGGUUCUGGAUAUAGAUCAUCGGCGAUGUCAAUAAUAGAUGACUAUCUGCGGCUAUUAAAUGUGUAAUUGGGUACAAGAGAAGUGUAUGCAUUUGUAUAGGCUUUUUGUUGUUGAACUCUUGUUUUAAACAAUUUCAACUCCAUCUUUCUGUUUUAAGCAAUAUAAUAUAUGCCCAAAGAUCUUUACAUUCUAUCCCUUCUCUAAAGAGAAUCCCAGCAAUGUAUUCUCGCUGAUAGGCUUCCAGGCACUGCCUCUGGUCUUCUUU